AAAACAAAAACAAACUGAUUGCAUGUUAACAUAAGCAAUAUUGUUUCUGAAAAAUAAUUUUUUUCUAAAAAAAAAAAAGCAGUGAGAAGAGUGACAUUGCUUUACAUUUGUGUAGAUCAGCGUCUGGCUUACUAGAAAACAGCUGGGUUCUCAUAUCCGCUCUGUCAUUCAGUGUGUUGUGGUACCACGUCAUGUAGGCUCUGGGAAAUUCUGCUGUGUAUUUGUGAAAGCAUGACAAUAAAAGUGUUAGAAUUAUUAUAAAAAUAGUUUUCUCCUCACAGAUACACUAAAAAGGUCUCAGGGAUCCUGCUAGGGUCCCUUGGGACACACUUUGAGAAACACUGGAUUAAUACGUCGUGACAAGUGUUUAGUAUAACACCUUGCAUGCGGUCAUCACUGAAUAAAAAAAUUAUUACAAACAGCACUAUUUACUAGGAGAUACAGCAUCACAGGUGGUUUUCUAUACAUGUAUGGGCCAAGCUCUAGAAGGGCCCCUGUGCAACACACACACACACACAACAGAUGCUUUCACUGUUGCCACUAAGCAGUUCCAUGUCAUCCCAUCUGGCUGGGGGGAGCCCUGAAAGUGUCUGGAUGUAUCUGAAGCUGCUGUACUGGGAUGUGUGCAAUACUAAUAUGGGAAUGACGGUGGUGGACAUCUCAUCACAUAGUAGCCUUUCCUCCAAGGAGGCAAAGGACUCACCUCCCCAUCACCCAGCAGUUAUCCUCAUGGGGGAGGGAGCCAGUCCAGUCCCUCGGGAAGGCAGUGCCAGGGCCAGGAUGUGAACCUGCCUUUCUGACCUACAGCAGAGUCAGGCUAAAGAGGGCAGGCAGAGGCUUGCCAAGGGGCACAGCAGAGUGCUUCAGGACUCACAGUUGCUGGGGCUGAAUGCGGGAAACGGCCUGUCAGUUCAACCCAGGAGAUGCUAAGAUGCAGGCCAGAGUCCAUGACUUUGUCCUCCCAUCAGGGGACUUGCAGGCCAUGUGACAGUCAGCUGGCACUCCCUUGACCUUUUGGUUGAGUCCAUAAACCAUAAUGCAAGCAGUGGGCUGAAAGCUGUGGCAAGCUGCUGUGUUGGCAUGUGAUUUGGAAAGCCUAUUCACUUAGCCACCUAUUAAACACCUGGUGUGUUUUGAGUCCCCAAUCUGUUUUCUCGCUCAUCUCCCACCAAGGGAAAAGCAACACUGACCAAUCAGAAGGCAGGCUCAGUCUUGUAGUCUCAGUAGUACCGUCUUCCUUGUGGCCGAGACAGUGUCUCCAGCAUCUGCAGUGGUGUGUGCAGCCAUAGGUUGACAAUGAAAUGCAGGGAGCCAGGAUCAGGAAUCUGACCUGCACCAAGAACUGAGGGCAGAACAGACCGGCAUCUGUCUGAUGCUGAGGCUGGUGGUGCGGGAGGCCAGGAGGCGGCCAGGAGCCAGAGUGAUGCCUUGCAGGACUUGGAUGGGGCGGGGGCUGUCUAAAAUGUGGGAUGAAUGCUAAGAGUCAAAAAGUUAGUGACCGCAGGCAGAAGCUUAGAAACACACAGUAGAUGUGAAAAGUGCUCCUUGCCCGGCUUUUUAAAUGUUCUCUGAAUGCCCACAGUGGGCAGAAGCUGCUAUUCAGUCAACAAAUAGUGGUCAAGGGCUGGGCAUUGUUGUAGGUGUGUCACUAGUUACAUCAGUGAAUAAAACAGACAACAAUCCCUACCCGCAAGGAGGUUGCACUUCUGUGGGAAGAAGAAAAUAAAGGAAAGGAGAACACGAAGGAAAACAUAUAAAUAAGAUACAUAAUAUUAGACGCAGUGGGGGGAUGGAGAUAGGGUGCUUCCGGGUGGGGUUCUAGCUUUCCACUGGGGGGUUAGGGAAGGUGUUAUUGUGAAGAUAAUGUUUGAGCAGACCGGUGGGAGAUGGCGAGGUGAGUGCUGUGGAUCUGGGGAGAGGGCAUUCAAGAGAGCAGGAGGGCCAGGUGCAGAGGCCUUCAGGUAGGAGCAGGGAGGAGGUGGGCAUGGCUGGAACACAGCAGGUGUCCAGAGGUGAGGUCAGUGAGGAACAGAGGGCACUUAGGGGCUUGCAGUCAUUGUGAUAACAGUGAUGCUAACUUGGGGUGAAGUGUGAAGCUAGUGGAGGCUUUUGAGCAAAGGAGUGACUGAUCUGACUGUUUUGAAAGAGAAUCAUUGCCAGGAGCUUCUCGGGGUUGGUAGAAGUGUGUCGGUCAGUCAGGAGACUGGAUCAGUAAUCCAAGAGGCAGAUAUUAGCAGCUUGGACCAGAGUGAUAAAGGUGGAGGUGGAGAGAAGUUGCUAGAUCCUUGAUACAUUCUAGAAGUACACCAGAAAUAAUCUGCUAACAGACUGGACAUGAGGUAUGAGAGAAGGAAGAGGGAAGAUGGACUUUGUAUCUCUUGGCUUGAGCGAGUGGAAGGCUGGAGAGUCACCAUGAUCUGAGAUGGGCAGGAGCUGGUUGGGGUGGGGGAGGCUCAAGAGUUGGGGUUUGGACAUGCCAAGUUUGAGAUGCCCAAGUAGAGACUGUAGAGGUCUAGGCUGGAGCAGGCAGAAAGACCCAGGAUGUGCACAGGAAAGAGAGAAACAGCAGCAGCAGCACUUGUUUAGCCAAGUCCUACUUCAGGGAUCAAAUGCAUAAAGGAAAGGAAAUCUCAGAGCCAGCCUCUAACCCUGAGCUUAAUCCCAAAGAGCAGCAGAAUAGCCUGGGGUAUCCACUCCUCCAUCCACCCUGGUGGUACUGCAGAGCCCCUCGUGUACUCACAGGUGGCAAGAGGCAGGGCUCAAAGCUUACCUCACAGGAAUGGCUCCCAGGGAGUACAUGUAGGGUGAGGGCCCCACUGGAACUGGAAUGUACACUCCUGUAUCGUGGUGCCUCCUAAGCCUGGGGAUGCCUCUGCAAGGGCUCCAGGAGAGCUCUCAAAAAGAAGCAGGCUCUGCCUUUCUCAGAUCAGCCCUCUGGCUCUGUUGUUCCCUGGGGUCUGUCUUCAGAUGACCACAGUAAUCCAGGGAGAUGAAGUUGGCAGAUCAGAAGCCCUUGAGUAGACCUGCGGAAUGUCUGAACUGACAAGAACGGCAGAGAGCGUCCCGUCCAACUCUCCUCUUACAGGUGGGGGAACUGAGGUCCGGGAAGAUGAUGGGACUUGUCCAGCUUAGAAACUUCAUGACCUGGGGCAAAUCACUGAACGCUUACAAUCAUGCCAGGGUGACAGCAUUUUCCUAAAUGCUCUGGCUCACACAUGGCUGUGUGCUCAUGGUUCCUCCUGUUUCUCCCUAACCCUCUUCCCCAUGGGCUUUUUACUGCCAGAUCAGGGUUUGGGGAAUGAUUGGCAGCCCAGAGGUCAGCCAGCCCUUUUGGCAGUCCAGUCACAUCUCCCCACUGGCUGAUGAAGCACGGACUCCCUUGGCAGCCAGUACUUCCUCAAGAGAUAUUUUGCUUAAAACUGAUGGUCCUCCUUUGGCUUUGCUAUUCCCCAUGUCCUUGGUGGGGCAGAGAGGUAGCUCCAUCCCACGUUCUUCUCCAUUGCCAGAGUCCACCUCCACCCCAUCCCAGAGCUGUUUGCUUGCCCUAUCCCACGUUGGCUCCUUUCACUCUCUGCAAACCCUUCUGUCCUUCCCAUAGUCUGAGCUGCCUUUUUCUUGACUACUUCUUAAGCCUCUGGAUUUCUCCUUAAAUAUCAGCUCUAGGACGCCUGCCCGAUGAGCUGAGGUCAUUCCUACCCUCAAGUGACCUGAUGAAUUAAGCAACAAUACCAGGGAUUCCAGGACAGUGAGUUUGAAGAUCAGCAUCUUUGCUGGCCUGGGGGAGGCCCUUGGCCUGCUGGGGGUGGAUAGAGUGAUGCUGACCUUCUGCACAGGCUUUGGGAGGGAGUGGUUAGUUACCGCAAAUGUCUGGCUGUCUAGGUGAAGCACUCCCGACCCUCUGCCCCUCAAAUGUAGUUGUGAAUUACAGAGCUGGAAGCAGCCCACGGGGGCAUUUGUUCCACUCCUGUUCCAGGGACAAAACUUAGGCCUGGGUCUCUAAAGCCAGAGGCGUUUGAGGCUUCAUCCCAAGGCUAAAGGGGCAGAUGCCCUCUCUAUCUGGCCUUGUGUCUUCCUCUGCUUCCACCUUACUGUAGAGUGGGGGGCUGGAACGUUGGCAAGGAUCAAGGACUCCUGUACCCUAUCUCAUUCUCCUCCCACACCCCUGUCCCUUCAUUACAGAUAAUCCAACCUCUUUAUUCUGUGGUUGCUGAAUAGCAUCCCCCAGGAGACCAUCUUCCCUGCAAAUGCAGGGUGACGCUGUGGAGUCGUUUCUCUGCCAUCAUCUUUUCUCUGCUGGGGAUGCCAGAGCAUAAACCCGUGGCACAAUGGAAUGUGCCUGGCAGCGAGGAGGAAGACGCCAGGGCUCCAGUGUGCUCCCACCCUUCCUCUCUGUCAGCCUGAGUGCUCCCGCUCCCUUUGGGCCUCAGUCUCCCACAGAAAGGGAGAACCGGGUGGCCCAGCAAUCUCUGGAGCCCCUUCUGGCUCAGACCUCCUGCAGUUCUCUGUAGCCUCCUGGUUCCCAGUGUAUUUUUAAAGGAUCCUGUGUUAUUUAUCUCAGCAUCUCUGCCCCCCUCCACUGCACACUGCUCUCCGUGCAGUAAUGACAUCCAGACACCCACACUGUAUCUUAACAAUCUGAUGAGAUAAAUGCCUCCUCCUUGGGCUCCGUGGACACAGAGUAGCAAUUCUCCUAUUCUGCUAUCAAAGAGCUCUGAAACUCAGGAUACCAAGGCAGGAGGAGCAGGCAUGUGGAUUGCCAUGUGCACAUCACUGGGCAAAAACACAUUCUCCUGCCCCAAAGCCCCCCUGUUUUUCCCCAAAGCUGCCUCACUUUUUCCCUUCCUCCACCUCCAGAACAAUGCCUUUGAGCCUGCUGGCGUUUGAGAACGUGCCAAAUGGCAUUUGAGAAUGGGCGGGCGGCAUCAGGGGCAUGUGGCCUUGUUAUUUUGCACGGAGCUCCUAGUGGGAUGCACCAGCCGCUGGCCAGGUCCUGGAAAUAAUUAAGCUGAGCAUAUUGAUCUGGGGGGAUUGCAGGGCCUUGGGCAUGCUCCAACCUCCAACACCCGCUGUCAUGCUCCUUCUGCAGUGACCCUCUCGUGCUCUAGGCACACCUGUUAGAUGGAACAUGGGACUUUCAAGGUUGUCGCUGCCAGGGCUGGCAUGAUGUGCUUGCACCCCUGCUCCCUUGUAGACCCGGGAGCUGGGAAGGUGCGUUGGGUUCCAAGAGAAGCAGGAACUGAUUUGGUCUUGUAGUGAAAAUAGACCUGGCUCUGGUCUGGUAAGUGAGUGACCUCAGACUUAGUUUCCCUAGAAGCAGAAAUAGGAUAACAAUAAGUCUUCCCACUUUAAGGAAUGUUGUAAGGAUCAAGUGAGAGAAUGUGAAAUUCUCAGGAACGCUGCAAGGGAGCCUACCUGUUAAACACAGAGGCCACGGGACACAGAGGAAGGAGUAAGGGCUCUGGAGCUGGGCAGGCCAAGCCUGGGUGUGAAUUCCAGUGUUUCUCUUCAGGCUGUGCUGCCUGGGGAGGAAAUGUACUUACCUGUUCUGAGCUUUUCUUUGCUCUUCUGUAAACCAAGGGAAAAUGAAGCUACACUGACUGGUUACUCAUAAUGAUAACAGGAGUAUCUAUUAUUUAUUAAAUGUUUGUUUUGAGCCAGGGCCUUCGUUCCUUUUCUUUUUAAAACCUCCCUAAAAGUAGCCAGAUUUGUAAUCACAUAUUACUUCACAUGGACUUUGGAUGGUUUGUGUAGUGUCUCCGUGAGAGCAGGGGUUCUGGGGGCUUUGCCCAGUGCUGUAUUUCCAAAGCCCAGCACAUGCCUGGCCCACGGUGGGUGCUUAAGAGAUGUUUAUGCAGUCAAGGGAGUGCAGCUGCCUGGCAAGGAGAACCCGGGAAUUUCAUUUACCCUUCUUAUUAUUCAGUUCCUUCACCUGAAUUCUCUUAGGCUGGAGCUGAGCUUUGGGUUCAUAAUAUAUAAUUAUUAUCCCCAUUUAAAAAUGAGUAAAAUGAGGUCAGGAGAGGUUAAGUGCUGUGCCCUAGAUCACUCAACUAGGAACUAGGGAACUAAGUCUUGUUGUGCAGUACUUGUUAGAGCCUCCUUGGAAGCUUGGAAAAAGGAUGUGGGCAGGACUGGGCAGGGAGGAAACAGCUGGGCACCUACCGGAUUCACGGUCUGCCCCAAUGAGGAUACACGGAAUCCUCCCUCUCAUCACGGCCCCCAGCGAUGCUCAUUUUACAGAUGAGAAAAUGAGGCUGAGAGGGAGAAAGAACCCGAAGCUCAGCUCCAGCCGGAGAGAGUUCAGGUGGAAGAACUGAAUAAGAAGAAGGGCAAAUGAAUUUCCAGAGUUCUCUCAUCCCAGAGUAGGAUCCUCAGCCUUGCCAGGCAGCCGCACUCAGCCUCCCACCCUCUCUGAGCAGGGGGGUUGGAAUGUGUCUGCGGAGGGCAGCGAGGAGGGAGCCUGCUGGAAUUCCUUCCGUGUGGCACAUCUGGGAGGGGUAUUCCCCCUGGUGAUACUUGGGAAAUCUUGCUGGCCGGCCUCACCAGUCCUUUUUUCCACUGUUCUUUUGGUCUCGGAGCACCCGCCAAACAUCUGACACUGUUCAGGAUCGAUUGCACGUCAAAUGAAGAAUGGGUAUUUAAAAAACAGGUUUUUGUGUGUGUUUUUUCCCCCUGUUGUCAUCUAAGAAGCAGGUUUUUAGGUUCUUUGAUUCUUUCCCAGAAUAACAACCAUAUGGGGCCUCCACUUACACUGAGCAGCCUGUGCCUUGUGCCAGGGACCGGUUUGUUUCCAUUGUCAGCAAACCUUGACUGGCUCCAAACAUUUUCAAUCAGGUGGUUUCUGAAAGAGGGAGAGACUGAGGGGAAAGUGAUGAUGUGGUCCCUCUGAAGAGGGUUUAGCUUUCAGAGGUAUGGCAGGGGUGGGGCGGACAGCCAGAGGGAUGUGACUUUGAGAAGCCAACUCACCGGCAGGACCCAGCGAGAUCCAGGCUCGGCGGCUGGAACAAAGAACAUUUUGAACCACACGGGGCUCUGGCAUGUUUGUUGAUCGACUUAUCCAAGGACUGGGCCCGCUGCUUUUGUUCCAGAAGAUUUCAUGGAUUAACUCCCUGGGCUUUGGAAAAUUGUUUCUUUUUUAAGAAAGGGAAGUUUUGAAAAGCAAAUGCUCCUGGGCAGUCUGGGGGUGUGGGGAGUGUUGGCUGGAGUGGGAGGUCACAUUCGCCCCAUGGUGGGAUGGCCAAGGGCUCCCAGCGAGGGAACAGUUGGACCUGUGGUGUCCUGGGGGGAGGGUGCCUCUGAGGGCCCCUAAUGGACAGAGGAGUGUGGACACCUGAGCCUGGGAGCAUCUUGGGCAUUUAGACCAAACCACGGGAAGGACUCCCCAAUGCUGAAGGUUGCUAGGCACUGGGGGAGGUUCCCAGGGAGACUGUGGCUAGAAACACCAUCUGCCAAAGAUGAUUUAGUACCGGAAGAGACAAGGGAUAGAACGAGAUGGUCCUUCCUGUCCCAGUUAAUCUUGGUGCUGUUCAUUCGGGGCUGAGCAUCCCCUCCCUGAAGUGGAAGAGAAGACAGACUUGGCCUUGGGCGGACUCUGAGCGUCUUGUAAAAGGGAGUCCUGCCUCCUUGGCUUUGUCCCCACCCCCUGACCAGGGUCGGAUGUCUUGGGAGCUUGCCGGCUCUCUGCCCACUGUCCUGCCCUGUCAGCAGGUACCAGCAAGCCUGUGUGCCAUGUGGGGUACAGGGAGUCACGGGCAUGUGAUUAAAUACUCAUGCUUUGUCAAAACACUGACAGUUAACAAAAUGCCUCCGCCUCUACUCAGGGAAGGGUGAGCAAGGAGGAAAAUGACUUCAAUAUGCAAAAGACAUUCCAAGGAGUCCAGGAGGGAAUGCUAAUUCUAGAGCCAGGAGGGAGUAAUGGGAAUUAGUUCUUGAUUUAUAGACUGACUGAAAGAAAUCAGCUAGGUUAAACGUGCCUAAAUUCUGCUAUCUGAGUAUGUGCUUAAGGAGAUGGGCUCAAUGAACUUUGAAAGGCUGUCUCUUCUCUAGUGAUGGGAGUGACAGUGAAGUUCCUGAUGAAGGAAGGUUUAGGGUGGAAGAAUUCUGAGCCCCUGGGUUCUGGAUUCAAAAUCACACACAGCCCUCUAGACAACACAGAGGUACAGUCUUUGUGGGUAAUUUGAAAAACGAGAAUGGUGAUUGUCUAUUUAGGACAGGUUUGGGUACAGCCACUCAGGGAAGCCAGGAACCAGCUUCUAACCGUGGAAGCUUUGUGUUUUCUGUGUAAACUGUCCUUGACUGUGGACAAAGAAUGGGUACCCAGUGUUCAGUUGGCAUCAUAAUAGGGAACAGAAUUCUACACAGAUGGUUCAACGGAACAGAGUUUUCUGAGGGGCAUAUUCACAGAGGGGUAAGGAGACCAGCAACGGAUAUCGAGGCACUCAGGGCUAAACGUAGAGGGGAGCUGUUACCGCCUUAAGGCCUGAGGAGGAAGGGGAGAAAAUACUGUUUGGGGGGCCUGGUGGCAGCUGGAGCAGGGAGGAGGACCAUGAGGGUGAAACCAUAGUCGUGGAAGGAUGUUGUCACUGCCAGGACCAAGGCACCAAGUUACCCUUCUGAUAAGAGGAAAUUUGUGUCAAGUCACAUAGAAUCACUGAAUAUUUGCACUUGGAGGAUCACCUGGCCUAAUUCUUCUGCGCCAAACAUGAAGAUGCUGAAGGAGAGAAGUUAAAGAACUUGUCCAAAAUUGCACAACUAGUUAGUAAUAAAGUUUGGAUGGAAAUCUG
Non-coding RNA from Macaca mulatta (Rhesus monkey), 8780 nucleotides. Lineage: Eukaryota; Metazoa; Chordata; Mammalia; Primates; Cercopithecidae. The record is from RefSeq and is a predicted model, not a curated record.